RNAcentral lists this ribosomal RNA (498 nucleotides) under uncultured bacterium. RNAcentral's name for it is "partial 16S ribosomal RNA". It matches the Rfam family "Bacterial small subunit ribosomal RNA", at positions 28 to 507 of the family's 1533-position model. The record is from RNAcentral.
GACGAACGCUGGCGGCGUGCCUAAUACAUGCAAGUCGAACGAGAGCGACCGGUGCUUGCACUGGUCAAUCUAGUGGCGAACGGGUGAGUAACACGUGGGUAACCUGCUCAUCAGAGGGGGAUAACAUCCGGAAACGGAUGCUAAAACCGCAUAGGUCUUCGAGCCGCAUGGCUUGAAGAGGAAAAGAGGCGCACGCUUCUGCUGAUGGAUGGACCCGCGGUGCAUUAGCUAGUUGGUGAGGUAACGGCUCACCAAGGCCGUGAUGCAUAGCCGACCUGAGAGGGUGAUCGGCCACAUUGGGACUGAGACACGGCCCAAACUCCUACGGGAGGCAGCAGUAGGGAAUCUUGCGCAAUGGGCGAAAGUCUGACGGAGCAACGCCGCGUGAGUGAAGAAGGUUUUCGGAUCGUAAAACUCUGUUGUUAGGGAAGAACAAGUGCUAGAGUAACUGUUAGCGCCUUGACGGUAUCUAACCAGAAAGCCACGGCUAACUACGUG